UUCAAGAAGUCGCGAUACGCAACAAACAAACCACGCCAACCUCAACAACUGAACGCGUGCUCUACGCUUCACGCACACUCUUUUCCCAGGACGGCACACACACCUGCCCCUUCCCUCACCCCUCCCACACACAAAGACAGACAGGCAGACGCCGUACGCUCGCGCAUACGCAAAACAGGAAACUUGUAAAGAGCGAAAGACCGCCACCGCCUCCUCACCCAUCUCUGCAGUUUGCUUUUUGACCUUCGCCCGACCGCUGACUUGUGCCUCUUCCUCCAGAGAUGCCUUCGUGUGGCGCAUCACUUGUGAGCGGGCUGAAGAAGUUGGGAAAGCCCAUCUUCUCGCAGACGCGUGAGUUGCAGCAGCGCAAGGAGAAAGGACUUCACCCAGUCUCUGAGCUCCGCCGCUUCCACCUCUUUGUCUGCUGCUUCUUCUGCAGCGUGUGCGCCUCGCUGACGUACGCUUUCGACCUCUUUACCACCCAGUUUCGCAGCCAGUUCAAGCUGACCUUGAGCGACCUGACCAUCAUCAGCACCGUGGGCCUCGUUUUCUGCUACUUUACGAUCCCCUACACCUUUAUCUUCCAGCCGUUCGGCCCCUUUUCCAUCUUCUGGAUAUGCGUCACUGCCACCGCUAUCGGCGGCAUCGGCCUUGCUGGCGUCUUCCGCGGCCAGAUUACUGGCAACACCGCCACCAUCACGGUUUUCUACGCCUUCCUCAAUACAGCGAGCGGGCUGAUCGAUAUGUGCUAUGUGUCGACACUCGUUGAGGUUUUUCCGCGCAACCGCGGCCCAAUCGUGUGCCUCGCGAAGGUGAUGACCGGACUGGGCAGCUCUGUGUUCGCCGCAAUGAGCAGCACCUUCUUCGAGGACAACAUCGACGGCUUCAUCUACUUUAUUACGGCGUUUGUCAUCGUCGUGUGCAUCUGGUCCAGCUUUGUCAUUGUAUUGCCACCGUACAUCGUGAACUGGUGGCGCCGUCAGGGCAAGACGCCGGAGCAGAUCGCCGUUCUGAAGGCCACGGUCACCUACUACGAGCGCAAGUUCGUUCCGAUGCCGCGCCUGAUCGUCGGCUACGCUGUGGUGCUGUUGCUGCUCGUUUUUUUCACGACUGAGGCGCCGGUCCUUGCAUACGUGCCGAACGUCAGCAGAAGCGGCAGGAUUGUGGUUGGCAUCAUGACGGUGGCGUUGACGUGCUCCAUUGUUGUGAUGCUGCUGCCUCUCCGCAUCCUUGGCGGCAUGAACGAACUGGAUCCAGGACUGGGACGGCUGGAGGACUCUGAGGAAGCCGCGCGCACCAAGGAUGUCGAUGAAGAUGGUCGCCUGGUGCAGCUUGACGACCUUGGCCAGGAGGUGCGAACGAGCAAUGAGGGCAGCGGUGAAGUCCUGGAGCCCUUCCGCAACGCCACGGUCGGCACGGCCACAAGCAGCCAGAGCGAGGAUGUCAUUAACAAGUACGCGCACCAGGACCCCCGUUACGAGGGUACAGUCAAAGACUACCUCCUCAACAUCGACGUGUGGCUCAUCAUGCUGCUCUUCAUUUGCUACGGUUGCAUGGGCGUCAUCGUCUUGUACAACUCGUCCACCAUUUCCAUCGCCCUGACUGGCCACAAGCGCAGCACACAGCUGUCCGCACUGUACACAGCCUUCCUCGGUGUGGGUAGCAGCGUUGGCCGUAUCGCCUUUGGUCUUUUCGAGGCGUACGUGCAGCACCAGGACCCCGAGAACCGCAAAGUGCUUGUGUCGAUGGCGCUGCCCGUAUCCCCGGCGAUGGCCUUCCUCGCUGGCAUCUUCCUGCUCUUCCUGCCGGGCAAAGCCGUGCUGCUGCCCUUUAUCCUCGUCUACAUGGAGGAGGGCAUAUUUGCCGGCAUCAACGCCCUCAUCUUCCCCUGCAUGUUCGAGAGCAACCACAACUUCUUGUACAAUCUCAGCUUCUUCGUGCAGAUGUGCUCCAUCAUCUCCUUCAACCUUGGCAUGUUCGGCCGGACCAUCGACAGGGAGCAGAGGAGGCUCCACAUCCCGAUGGACCUCGAGUGCAACGUCAAGUCUUGUGUGAGGACGCCGAUUAUCGUAUCCACGGUGCUCGCGUUCUUCGGCGUCCUUGUCGCCCUGGCGAUCCACUUCCGCUACGCCGCCUUUGUGAGGGGCACGCGAGAGCGCAUGCGAGCUCCAGGCGCCGAAGGAUCAGAGCCGACGGCAGGAACUGCUCCCAUAGAGGAAGCGAAACCAUGUGCGACAGAGGACGCGAAUGCGAAGGGUCUCGUCCUUGAAGAAUAGCGAAGGAAGCGUGGAAGCGUCGGCGGGGUACUCAAAGGAAUCUUGCUUUUCGCUCUGCACAGCUAGUGUGCCGAUCUGGGUGCAGUUUGAGGCAGUGGAAGCGGUGAGGGAAGGGCAAGGGGCGUGAGGGGAGAGGAAGCGCGAGUGGUAUGGCGGGGCGAGAGGCUGACGGAGAUGCUUGCCGGGUAUUGUGACUUGUUCCGUGUUGCCCUGUUCUCCUUUCCAUUACACCUUUCUCUUUCCUUGUCAGCGCUGACUGCCACUCAUCAUGUAUGUGCUGUGUGUUGCAUCCCUCGUCACUGCUUGUGCUGCCUCAUCCGCGCGCGAAGCGCGCUGUUUUUCUGCACAGGCCCUCUCUCUUUCUCGCGCACGCGCCCCCUUCGCUCGCAACUCGCCCAACCCCCACUUCCGCGUUGCAACCCGGCUUUUUUUUUGUUGCCUGCUUCUAUUUUGUGUGUUUGCAUGUGUGUGUGUGUGUGUGUGUGUGAGCGCGUGACGAGGUGCGAGUUGCUUGCCCCUGUUUUCUGUCCUGGGGCUCAUUCAUCUUCAACGCCACUCGACUCGCGUCUCGCUCUCCCUCUUUGCCCCUCUCCCUCUGACACUGGCGCUUGUUCUCUGCUCGUCCUCUUCCUUGAUCUCUUCUACCUACGGAUCGCACCCACACGGGGAGACGGUGUGGAGGAUGCCUACACGCACUCAGUGAAGCGCGUAUGCACACACACACACAGAAACGCAAAUGACGGUUUGAGGUAGCGUUACAGACAGCGAGAUCCAGACACCGCACAUCUCUCUAGCACAGUCGACGGCCUCGCAGGCAAGCACGCACUCUUCUCCCUCAUGGCUUCUGGUGUCGGCGGUCGGGUGUUUUUUGUGUCGUCUCCCGUGCGUUUGCUUUGCUCUUGUUCCCCUCCUCUCCCCUCUGCCCUCCCUCCUCCCUCCAUCUCAGCGGGUCUCUUCUUUUUUUUGGUGUUGGUCAGGGGUUUGCUUGGGCCUGUGAUUCAACACGUGCACGCGCGCUGCGGGCCCGUCGCGUGCACGUCUCGUGUCCGUCUGUCUGUGGUCGCUUUGGGGAGAGUGGAACACAUCAACGACGCCGGGGAGGUGGCAGUGUCGGUAGUUUCAGGGAAGCCGAUGCCAGCUGCACGGAUGACAGACUCGAUCACCGGCCUCAGACGCCAGAGGCCGAUAUAACCCCCCCCCCCAAACACCGCGGUGCGCGAUGCGGCACGCGACGACAAACGCGACUUGGCUGCAGCCGUCCCACGCCAGGGGAGCAAGGGUGCCGAGCUCACGAGACGACAGGCGGCCAUCCUCGCCCAGUGCCACACGGACAUCUGGCCGUACUUUGGAUUCCCGCAGCGGUUGGCGAGUGGCAGCAACACGAUGGUGUGCAGACGGUGUGCUGCCCACUGCUCCGCUAACGUUGUGGUACCCCUCCCCCUGCCCGUGUUUAUGCUAUGAGGGCUUCCGGCCCGGCGCUGUGCCCGAUAUGCCACGCGAGACUCGCGAAUCGCACGACGCUUGACGCACACCUCGGUCGCGCUGGAUGGGCUUCCCCUGUCAGGUGUGUGUGGCUGCCUCCUCAGGAGGACAGGCGAUGAGCUCCUUGUGCGGAUGCGCAUGCGUAUGCACGGGCCCCUUCCCCUUGACACACCCGCUCCUGUCAGAGGCAUGCGGGCUCAGGAGAGGGCGGUGUGCUCCAUGCCUCCACGGACUCAUGGCAGCGUCCCCACCUGUCGCGGCACACGCGGGCAAGCCAUCCAGACACGCCCUCCCUCCGUGACACGGUCAGACAUGGAAGAUGGAGGUCGGCGAACCCACCAGUGGCCAAGGUCCUCCUGGAACAGGCCCCACGAUGCGAGAAUGCGAGCACUGUGCGCACGCGCUGCCGGCCGCAGCCGGCACGGCGCAUGAGAUCCAAGCAAGGCGUCGGGAGGCCAGCGGGGCACGAGUGAUGGACGGAAGAGGUGCGACGAGAUCCAUACGAGUGAGCCCCCGCAGUGCAUGUGUGCCGAAACAUGCGCGCCACCCCCUCCAUCCGACCGUGUGGGCUGAUGCGGCACAGAUGCCGGAAGUCUGACGUGAGCAUCCCGGGUUCCACCGUGGAGAGCUAUCCAUGCUGCAAGGCGGAGAGUGACUGUACGAUAUUGUGGAAUGCCGGGGCUUGAAGCGACUGAGGGCGAAGCACGGCACACAGGCAGGGUGCCGGGUCGGAGAGGGCCCGGACCUGCGGCUGGCCGGCCUCCUCGCUGAGCUCAUCCGGCAUGCACGUGAGCCAGCCACUGCUACCCGCACGAUGGGCGCCCCACUGCUUCCGCCCUCGCGCAGGACCCUGGGUGCGGCCCGCUCGGAUCAGGGCAUGUGGUUCAUGUAGGUGUGUGAUGCGCCGAUGGUGCAGCGCGUAUCCGAAGAAGGGAAGGACACGAAGAGCCCGCUAGCCGCAUAGCCCGAUUCGACAGCAGACGGCCCGUCCUAGACGGCGAGGAUGUGGCCGCCGUGCAGCAGAGGUAGGUGAGCUGUAGUGGUGUAUGCGCGUAUAUCUGUUGCGGACGUGCUCGUCUGUAGAACGGACUCGCAGAAGAAGCGGACGUGUAUCCCCUCCUCGCACGGGGGGGGUAUCAGAGAAAGAGAAGAGGACGGCAACGGUACGGGAGUACGUGUUCACGUGCUGGUCUCUAUGUCGGCGUAGUGCCGUCUCCUUUUUCCCGCGCUCGCGACUUCAACUAUGCCACACCCACUUUGGCUCAGGCCUCGAAGUGUGAUCCUCAGCGUUGGACGUGCUGCGGUGCGCUUCGAGCUGGUGCUGUAGGGUUUGUUUGUGCUCACCGCCUUCUCCGCAUAUUCCUACAAGAAACCAAGGGGACGAGGUGCAUCGCCUCCCCUCCUUUCUUUCUGUUGCUCAAGGUGUGUGGAAGCGACGGGAGAGAAGUGCGGGGCAGAGGAAGGCAGGCGCAGACGCGCAUGUGCUUUCACGAUCCCUCCUUGGCUUCCAUAGCCCCACUGCUGUGCAUGCUUGAGGUCACGUAGGCGUCUAUUUCUUUUUUUUUACUGACUUUGGGCUUUCCCGCACACCUUCCUUUUUUCCGGCUUAGGCUUUUCGGUCCACUUCGCUCUUUGCGGUGUGUGUUAUUCACCCCCCCCCAUAUAUAUGUAUAGAUGGGUGUCUGUGCGUGUGUGUGUUUGGCCUGACGCACGCACACAUAUGCAUUCGUUCUCGUUUCUUCUGCUUGUCUCUUCCCCCUUCCCCCUUCCUCCUCUGUCCUCCCCUCCCCUCCCCCGCGUCCAUUUGCGCGCCUGUGAGCGCACGCUUCUGCGUCGCUGAAAAAUACAAAAUUGUUUUCUUUACGUUUGCCUUUGUGUGCGUACACGUGCGUGUGUGAGCGUGUUCGAGGUGGUUUCUGCCGUGGUCUUUCAUUUUCUUUUUUUUCGGUUGUGAGUGCGUGUGUGUGUUUGAGGGGCAACGACCAGCAGCAAUGGUGAGGGACGAAGCCCCGUUUUCUUUGUCCAUCUCUCUCCUGCCCACUCUCUUGAACGCACGCCUCGACCGACUCACCGCUCACCGCCUCUUCCAUGUCUUUCUCGCUCUCCCUGCGCGCUCUUGUAUAUGGGUUGCUGUUUCACCGCAGAUGUCGGGUGUGAUGGGAGAGGAUGACGUUUUAUGUACGCGCGCCUUGUUACUUUUUUGUGUGUGUGCGUAUUUGUUGUGGUGGGAUGCAUCACUGCGUAAGUGUGAUGAAUGUGUGCAUGCACGAGUGCACCAAGCUCUCUCCACCCUGUCAACACCACCAUCACUGCCGCUAAUGUCCAAUCGCCUACAACGUCACGUUUAAACAUCAAAUCUAUCUCUACAUGCAAACCACAGAGGAGGCAGAUGUGCUUGCGAGCGUUUACGCCGUAUAUGCCUUCAUACAUGUCUGCACCCCAACACACACACACACACACACACACACAGACCCACACAGACAGUCAAAGGCAGACAAGCCUUCCCCACCGAAUCGCUCAUCCUUUGUUUUACGUACGAUAAGGCGACGCUGCUCAUCCCACCGCUGCACCUCCACGAAAGAAAAAAAAACAAGCAAAAAAAGGAGUGCAGACAAACACGCGUGUGCUUGUUCUUUUUUUUUAGUUUUCGCUUCUUCCCUCCCUCGGCGCUUCGUGAUGACGUGUGUGCGCGCGUGACGGUGUGCUCUCUCUUAAGUGAUUCCUUCACGCGCUCCCUUGUUUUCUUUCUGUUUUUUUUUCUUUUUUAGUUUCGGUGUUGGUUGCUGCAACGCGUGUUUUGUGGCGUGCGCGUGUGUGUAUGUAGCUCUCUCUUGGCGUUGUGAAUGUCCAGCGUAGAGGUACCGCAGUCCUCUUCGAAUAUUUUCUGUAUGUCUUUUGGUCGAUAUUCAAUGAGCUCUCUCUAUUUAGCACAUUUAGUUACGCGUCACCCCCUCUUCUUCUCUUCCCUCCAGUGUGUGCGUGUGUCCAUUUCUUUUCAAUCCUAGACACGCUUGAAGAAGCCGCCUCCUGACCCUCUACGCUGUGAUCUUGUUGCCGCAGCAGGUCGCGCCUUCUUCACUGUUUUCGUCCCGCUGCCUCUCGCACUCGCUCUUCUUGUUGUCGUCUCCUCCACUCCACGCCUGACGCAGAGUGAGCAUUUGAAUAGCCAUGAGCUUCUCUGUGUACAGCUCUGCGUGAAAGGUGAAGAGUGAGAUGGCGGAAGGGAUUGGCAAACUGGCACAACGUGGCAGCAGACGCCGACAAGUGGGCCUACAUAUGCAGACACCGACUAGCUCGUCGCCUCCGUGACAAGUCGGUAGGAGCGUCCCUCGGGAAGAAAUCCGCCUAUGUCCCGCAGGAAGCUGCUCUAUAUUUAUACAAGCACACGCAAACGUAACAGUAAAGAACGCAG
Molecule: unclassified non-coding RNA, 7170 nt
Filed under: Leishmania donovani
Lineage: Eukaryota; Euglenozoa; Kinetoplastea; Trypanosomatida; Trypanosomatidae
Description: gene:LdHU3.21.2310(CDS-product:hypothetical_prote in_conserved)
Source: RNAcentral